CUGUAUUGAUAGAGUUAGAAUGUGCAACUUCAAAACCACGAAAUUUUCUACACAUGGAAAAUUACUAUUUUACAGUAAAAUCAGAAAGAACUAUGAAUUAAAACUAAUAAGACCAUUUGAAAUUUCCAUUUGUGAGAGUAGUACGUUUUAAAUAGCUAAGAAUAUUUGCCAACCCUUUAGAAAUUGAAACUGGUGGAUAUUCAAAACCAUGCAUUCCAAAAGAUUGUUGUUUUUGUCAGUUUUGUAAAACUACUGAAGAUGAGUUAAAGUUUUUAUCUCGCUGCUUUAUGAUGUUAGUAACAGGCUACUUGUCGGAGUGAACUUGGGCUGUUUACAUACAUGUGAUUUGAGGGUAGUAUUGUGCAGGUGGGAAAAAAUGCCAUGAUAUUGUUUUCCGCUGUCGGUAGUUUGGCAUCAAUUUUAAUUACCCCCCCCCCCCCUCCUUAUUAGAUACAUCGAGAAUAAUUACCGGUGUGAUACCUUGGAAGCUGGUGUAUGCAUAAAGUUAGACUUAUUGGAAAUUGCUGAUACACGCAUGUAGAAAUGAAAAUUUUCUAUCAGCCGUAUUCACCAUCCCGAAUUUGCAGAUCGUCAAUCAAAAGGAAAACACAGAUUUCUAGCACUCGGAAGAAAGCGAAAAACAUGAACAAUCCUUAACAAUACUGUCCAGGUAUAUUUAGAUAACUUUUAAAAAUAUAUAUAAAGCUUUACACUGUAACAGUCAGAUUCCGGUAAUAUUUACAAGACUGUGACGUCACACUCGAGUAAACCGUCUGACGCGUCUGACGUAUGCAAGACAGCGAAUGUGAAAGUACUAUAGGAACUCUUAUAGACUGAUGAGAAUUACUUUAGACGGGGUACGUCAACGAAUAGGCACGACAGCGAAAAUACGGAAGUCACUUCGGGGACUUGUCGCAGAAUCGCAUAACUCUACACGAGAUUAAAAGAAAGAAAAGACAAUGAAGACAAUCAUGUAAAAACAAAUUCAAUCAAUUAAAUUAUCAGCAGAUUGAAAGCAGAUUUGUACUCCUUUUUGUGUUCAUCUGAACCCGAGAUUCAGAGUAUCAAAAUAUCCAUGUAUGAUUUAACGUUAUAAAGUUUAUGUGAAAUUCACGUGAAUUUUAUGUGAAAUUCAUGUUAAUGAUUUCACGUGAAAUUCACGUGAAUUUUAUGUGAAUUUCACGUGAAAUUCAUGUGAAUUUCACGUGAUUUUUUUUCGUGUGAAUUCACAUUUGAUGCUCUUUUAACGUGAA
Ostrea edulis (European flat oyster) is the source of this 1253-nucleotide long non-coding RNA. RefSeq lists it as uncharacterized. The record is from RefSeq and is a predicted model, not a curated record. The transcript has 3 exons. NCBI's taxonomy places the organism in Eukaryota, Metazoa, Mollusca, Bivalvia, Ostreida, Ostreidae.